GAUGAAGAACGUAGCGAAAUGCGAUAAGUAAUGUGAAUAGCAGAAUUCAGUGAAUCAUCGAAUCUUUGAACGCACAUUGCGCCCGCUAGUAUUCUGGCGGGCAUGCCUGUCCGAGCGUCAUUUCAACCCUCAAGCCCCCGGGCUUGGUGUUGGGGAUCGGCGAGCCUCCGCGCCCGCCGUCCCCUAAAUCUAGUGGCGGUCUCGCUGUAGCUUCCUCUGCGUAGUAGCACACCUCGCACUGGGAAACAGCGCGGCCACGCCGUUAAACCCCCAACUUCUGAACGUUUGACCUCGGAUCAGGUAGGAAUACCCGCUGAACUUAAGCAUAUCAAUAAGCGGGA
This 341-nucleotide unclassified non-coding RNA is filed under the name soil metagenome. Its description in RNAcentral is "partial contains 5.8S ribosomal RNA, internal transcribed spacer 2, and large subunit ribosomal RNA". The stretch from base 1 to 120 matches the Rfam family "5.8S ribosomal RNA", at positions 35 to 154 of the family's 154-position model. The record is from RNAcentral.